Kogia breviceps (pygmy sperm whale) is the source of this 5360-nucleotide non-coding RNA. The record is from RefSeq and is a predicted model, not a curated record. NCBI's taxonomy places the organism in Eukaryota, Metazoa, Chordata, Mammalia, Artiodactyla, Physeteridae.
AAGCCUGAAGAAUUUGAUGGGUGAGGGCAGAAGCUUCUGGGUCCCAAGGCUUGCACUUGGUUCUCCUGCAAGGACCUGUAUGACCAAAGCCAAAUGGCUUCUCGGCCAGGAACAGCUCUUCUGAUGGAUAGUCCAGCACGAAGCUUCCCUUCCUUAGGCUUUUAGGGCCCACUAGAGAGAUGCCAAUGCUUAGAUACCGACAUCAAGGCCAAAGACCACAGCCCCUCCUCUUGGUCCAGCUCUUACUGCCUAGAGACCCCUGAGUUAGUUAACAGAGCAGGGAAAGCCCUCCCUGCCCUGCCGUUAAUUCACGUGUGGCUCUGGGCACAUCCUCUCUGGGCCUUAAUGGGGAGAUGAGAGGACUGGAUCAAAACAUCUCCAUUUCUCCUUUGGGCCCUGGGGCCACAAGCUAUGUUAAGGUUCUUUCUACCUCUAAUAUUCUACAGGUAGAAUAAUAUUGUCUACUUUCACUCCCGGAAGCAGAGUCAGAGCAGGAGAUGGGGGUCCUCAAUCCAAGAAACAGCAGAAGCCAAUCGGGGCUGCCUAGUAUUGUGCCCUGAAAGCCUGUCCCCUUAAGAGGCAAUGCCUUGUUUCUGCUGCCUCCAAGGUAGCUGCUUCCUGUAACAGAGUCUCAGAGGACUGUCUGGGCCCUGGCCACUUUAGGAAAAAGGGCAGGAGGACUGAGUUACCUCCCAGGGUGUCAGCUGAGCUCAUCUUGGAAACCCAGCAGAACCAGGGGGCAGAAUGAACCCAGUACUUUCCCUGUCUACACUGGGCAGGGGGAGCCUGCUUCAUCUGUUUUGAACCCCAAUCCAGAAAAGUUUUUCUCUACUUUACAGAAUCAUCUUCCCUCCUCUUCUCCUGGGACACAGCUUGUUCAUUCUGACUGGGUUCAUUCCCCUUGCCUAGAAGGAGUUCUGCAGUUCCCCAGGCAAACCCCUCUCAUCCCAGAGACUGGCUCAAAUUCCACCUCCUCCGAGAAGCCUUCCCUAACCACCUGUGCCCUCGGGGACUGCUUGUUCCCUCUGAACUCUGCCUCUGCCAGGAGUCCGCGGAGACCUCAGCACAGAUGGACCAUUUUCUCCAAACAGACUGGAAGCUCCUGGUGAGUCAGGCCUGGGUCUCACUCUUCUUGGUUCCCCGAUGUGCCACAAGCUCAGAGCCCGCUGGCUGGUUUCAGCUGACCUGCCUCUACGACCCCACCUUGGACAGACGAAUUAAUUAGCUGCUCUCAGUCCUGGCUGGCCAGCCCAAAGCCAGAGCCUCUGUGAGUCUGCCUGGCACACAGCAAGUGCUACUGACCUGGUCUCAGAUAGGCCCAGCGCUGUGGAAGGGCCAGUCCGGGCUUAGGGAGAGCCUACAACACAUCAAGGGAAAGGAAAAGUUUCCAUUUCAAAAGUUUGCUGCGCCACAGCCUGUGAGAAUGACAGGUCCCGAGGCUGAGUCAGCUUUCACACUCUCACACACUUUCUUCAUACAAAUACAGGCAUGCUUGAGGGGUUAAGAACUUGGAAUUAAGUUGGCCUGGGCCCCAGACCAACCCAAACCACCAUGCUCCUUUAGCCCUUCGCUCCUCCAAGAGGAAACAGUGUCUCUUCUGUCAACCACUCAAGUUACCAACGUGGAUGUGCCUGGUCAUUUACUCUAGUUAAAGACCCUUGGGACCUCUGAUCCCCCUUGAUCUUCACAAUGACCUGACCAGGCAGGAAAGAGGACACGGCCUUGGGUUAGAAAUCCAGGGAUUGUGUCCUUUGCCACUUACUUGCUAAGUGACCUCAGGCAGGUCACAACCUGGGGCUCGGUUUCCUUAGAUGUAAAAUGGUUACAUCAAUACCACCUGCUAUUCUAACCCACAGGACCACUGAGAAGAGCGGAAUUAAAUACUGUACACGCAAGUGCUUUGGAAACAAGUUACAAUACUAAUGAGAAUUACUACUAAACUCCACCUGCCUUACAGGGCUAGAGAGUUGCGCCAUCUGCUUCCAGCACAGAGGCUGCCUCUCAGGGGAUCCUGCUGGGCCCCAAGGGUAACCAAAAGCAGCCCAGUACCCUUCCAGCCCAGAAGCAGGAGAUGGUAAUCACAAGGUUAGCCAUCCCCUGCUGGGCAAAGGAAACUACUCUUUAAGAGGCAUUCCCCCUGCCAAAGCAGGGAAGAAGCAAGCUCAGUCAGACCACUGAGAGAGCAAAGAGAUGGCAGGCAGGGUCACUAGCAGAGGCCAAGGGAUAGGCCCAGCCUGGCUGCGGGAUUCAGGUACACAUAUGCGGACUCACAGGGACAGAAGAUGGGCCCAAAGCCAGCACAGAACCCCUACAAGCUUUCUCAGGGCAGGGAGAGGGCUUCCGCCAUCAACAAGUGCCAGCCCCCAGAGGGAGUCCUAAAAUCCCGGAAGGCAGGUGCAGUGAGCUGGGCACCCACCCCAUGCAGGGGCCCGGGCAUCUGCUGAGGAGGACGUGAGGGGCAGGAGAUGCAGCUGCACCCUGAGAGGAGGCUGUGCCAAGGCUCAAACAGAGAUAAAUGGUAAUUCAGCAUCACAGCAGAUAACCCCUUUGAGCUGUUUCCUCAUCUGUGAGACAGAGAGCCUUUAUCUCAUAGGAUGAUAGUAGGAAUUAAAUGAGAUUACUUUUAUAAAGUGCCUGACACCACUCUGUAGAUACUCAAUAAAUGGUAAUUCUUACUAAAACACACAUCCCCCCCACCCCGCCCCCAACAGAAGAGAUGUCACAGGGCAGGCUAGGCCUAAUGCCAAAGUUGUGGAUAAACAAUAAGGGAUAUGGUUUUAGGGGAGAAAUGAAAGCAACGGCUGUGGGCUGGAGUGGGCUGGGAAGACGGCCCAAAGUGGAGGAAUCUGAACAGGCCCUGAAAGCUGCCACAGCACGUUGGGCUCUGUGCUAGCAUUCCCACGUUUGGUCUCUACACCGAUCCUGGAAGGUAGAGACGGCAUCCUUACCUUCCCAAUGAGGCAAGUCAGGUUCAGAGAAACCAGGGGCCUGGUCACACAGGUACCGAGGGGCAGCGGCAGAGCCCAGGCUUUUGUGACAACGUCUGUCCUUCCCACCAGAGCUGGAGGGGCUAGGUGGGGCGGGAAGGAGAGGCAAGGUGCACCUCGUGGGUGUUCAGCUGAAUGAACUCCAGGCAGUAUGACCAACAGAGGCCCUCUAAGUGUCCUGGAGCCUCGGGACACACAUGUCCUACCUGAAGCUUCUUCCCGGUCCCCAGAUGACCUCCCCUCCCACUAUCCUGCAGUCACUCAGCUGUUUUCCCAAAGAGGAAAAGGUCACCUUUUUCUUUUUGGAGAGUUCCAUCUGGGCUUCUAGAGACAGUUUCAAGGUGACCUUUAAGUUGUUCCUCUCUCCUUCUGAGAAGUGAGAGAGGAGAGUUCCAGUCUUACACAGGAAACCAGCUGCUGGGUCUGAUAUCCCACACGUGAAGUGGGCAAUAAUGAUCCCCAUCUCCCCUCCUCACAGACUUGCUCUAAGGAGGAAAUGGCAGAACAAACCUUGCAAACACCAAAACCAGAAAAAGCUAUAAGACGUGAAGGGACAAUGGAAGGUUUUUUUGUCUCUGGUCAGGAGACGAGAUGGAUACCUGCUUCAUAGGCUGCCAGGAGUUCCUGGUCUGGGAUAUGUGUAAACAAACGCAGGGGGUGCCAGUGGUGAGCUGGGUUACAGCGAGGCUCUCCCUUGAAACACGCACUGGACUGGGAGCCAGGUAAACAGGGACAACGUGGAAUUCGUGCAGGGUCCAAACCACAAUGUGAGGUGGAGGUGGGGGAGGGGAAUGGGCCUACCUAAGGCUUGGAGUCUUUCUCAGAGUUCUCCCAAUAGUUUAACCCCAACUCACAUCACCAGCCCCUCCUCACCAAGGAAAAGGCAAGAAUCCCUGACUGUCAGAGAGAGAAAAAAGGCCCAGAGACGGGAAGUGACUUGCCUAAUGUGACCCACUGAGUCACUCAGAAAAGAAUCCAGAAGCAUCUACCCUGGAACUUCAGCUCUAACCCCACCCUUCCCACACGCAUCUCCGCCAGUAUCUACCUGAGGCUCUCUCUGCUCAAUGAUUAGGAUAGGAGUGAGAACCACACACAGAACCUUCUAUUUUUAAAGGAGGGGUAACGUGCAAGGGAAGCAGCUGCCCGAGAUGACAGAAUGAGGCCUCCAACAUAGCUCCUACCCAUGCUGGGGUGCUGAGAGAGUAGGCAAGACCCCAAAAUGAACUCCUAGGCUCCUGGGUAACUGACAGUACAGAGGGAGCGUGGCCUCGGCACACCCCCCAUCCCCCAAGUCGGUCGGUGCCAUGUCCCCUCCCCACAGGACCUGCUCUGGAGGCAGCUUAAGUGAAGGAAGAACAAAGUCAGUAGGACUGACUCUCAGUCCUUCCUGAAACCUUAAGGAAGGACUGCUGGUGGCAGCCUAGGUUGAGAGUUUUGUAAUCCUCCAGCCUCAGAGGAAGCCCUCUCAGUGGAGGGGCUGAGGUAGGGAUGCAUUUACCUUAGGUGGUUAAAAUGCCAACGGGAGCAGCUGCAACUCACGGAGUGCUUCCUAUGGGUACAAAGCCAGCUUUACGCGUGUUAAUUUAUGUCAUCAUCACGCCAGCAGCAUUAGAGCUAGAUACUAUUAUUUCCCCCUUUUUAUACUUGAGGAAACUGAGGCUCAGGGAGGGUAAGUGGCAGAGUGGUGCCAACCUCAAUUCAACACUGCAAAGGGGGAGUCCCCCGGUGGCCUAGUGGUUAGGAUUCGGGGCUUUCAACUGCCGCAGCCCAGGUUCAAUCCCUGGCUGGUUGGGGAACUGAGAUCCCGCAAGCUGCGUAGCCAAAACAAAACAAACAAAAAAACCCAAAACUCUGCAAGGUAAAGGGAACAAUGGGCUUUCACUUUUUGCCACCUGAACUGGGACCCUUAAGAUCUUUUGGCCAUCUUUCUCUCUACCCUCUUCCCAGGAUGGCCAGAUGCUAGGGCACCCCUGUUUUCAGAGGCAGAAAAUUGCCCUAUCAAGCCAGAGACACAGUCUCUUGGAACUACAAAUGCCCUCGGAGAUCAUAUCCAGCCUCCUCACUUUACGAUGAGAAAACUGUGGCCCAAGGGUGAGUGACUUGCCAGGGUCACCCAAGUCAGCGGGAUGGCAGCAAUGUCAGACCUGCAAGAGGCCACAAAGAUCAACCGACAAGUGGAGAGGCAUGACUGGCCCAAGGUCACAGAGGGAGGUGGUAUAAGAGGCCAAGUUUCCUAACUUCUAGACUGAUUCCCUUGUCACGGCACCACCUCCGCCAGCUGCCCAGGGUCCCGGGCACAGUUUUGGCAGGGACAAAGCAGGCCAAGCCUGACCCGAUUAGGAUUAGAGGUAAUCAGGCCUGCAGAGACAAACU